UCGGAAGGUGCGGCUGGAUCACCUCCUUUCUAAGGAAAAAGAUUCACGGACUGUAACAGGAAAGUGAAUCAACAAAAAAAGUCUUAUAGACUUUUCUACACUGUUUUAAUUAUAUAUAUUAUGGACCUGUAGCUCAGCUGGUUAGAGCGCACGCCUGAUAAGCGUGAGGUCGGAGGUUCGAGUCCCCCCAGGUCCACCAUUGCUUUCAAAGAAAAGCAAAUGAACUAUGAAAACUUAACAAUCAUAUCAAAAAAGAAGAAGAGUCAAAUUUUUUACGAAGUAACAAAAGAAGACACUUUUUCACUGGAAAACAAAAACAAAGCAGUCAAUAAGAAUUGAUUAGCAAAGGUCAAGUAAAAAAAGAGCAUUAGGUGAAUGCCUAGGCACCAAGAGGCGAAGAAGGACGCGACAAGCUGCGAAAAGCUGUGGGUAGGAGCAAAUAUCCACUAAACCACAG
This 457-nucleotide unclassified non-coding RNA is filed under the name Peptoniphilus asaccharolyticus DSM 20463. Its description in RNAcentral is "partial contains 16S ribosomal RNA, 16S-23S ribosomal RNA intergenic spacer, and 23S ribosomal RNA". The stretch from base 348 to 457 matches the Rfam family "Bacterial large subunit ribosomal RNA", at positions 1 to 109 of the family's 2925-position model. Lineage: Bacteria; Bacillati; Bacillota; Tissierellia; Tissierellales; Peptoniphilaceae. The record is from RNAcentral.